UCGGAGCCUCCUUAUUUCAGAUAGAUU
This 27-nucleotide small RNA is filed under the name Bombyx mori (domestic silkworm). Its description in RNAcentral is "ovarian small RNA-28930". The record is from RNAcentral. Lineage: Eukaryota; Metazoa; Arthropoda; Insecta; Lepidoptera; Bombycidae.